RNAcentral lists this ribosomal RNA (511 nucleotides) under Salmonella enterica subsp. enterica serovar Derby. Its description in RNAcentral is "partial 23S ribosomal RNA". It matches the Rfam family "Bacterial large subunit ribosomal RNA", at positions 11 to 561 of the family's 2925-position model. Lineage: Bacteria; Pseudomonadati; Pseudomonadota; Gammaproteobacteria; Enterobacterales; Enterobacteriaceae. The record is from RNAcentral.
CUAAGCGUACACGGUGGAUGCCCUGGCAGUCAGAGGCGAUGAAGGGCGUGCUAAUCUGCGAUAAGCGCCGGUAAGGUGAUAUGAACCGUUAUAACCGGCGAUACCCGAAUGGGGAAACCCAGUGUGAUUCGUCACACUAUCAUUAACUGAAUCCAUAGGUUAAUGAGGCGAACCGGGGGAACUGAAACAUCUAAGUACCCCGAGGAAAAGAAAUCAACCGAGAUUCCCCCAGUAGCGGCGAGCGAACGGGGAGGAGCCCAGAGCCUGAAUCAGCAUGUGUGUUAGUGGAAGCGUCUGGAAAGGCGCGCGAUACAGGGUGACAGCCCCGUACACAAAAGCGCAUGUGCUGUGAGCUCGAUGAGUAGGGCGGGACACGUGGUAUCCUGUCUGAAUAUGGGGGGACCAUCCUCCAAGGCUAAAUACUCCUGACUGACCGAUAGUGAACCAGUACCGUGAGGGAAAGGCGAAAAGAACCCCGGCGAGGGGAGUGAAAAAGAACCUGAAACCGUGU